RNAcentral lists this ribosomal RNA (492 nucleotides) under uncultured bacterium. Its description in RNAcentral is "partial 16S ribosomal RNA". It matches the Rfam family "Bacterial small subunit ribosomal RNA", at positions 29 to 507 of the family's 1533-position model. The record is from RNAcentral.
AGUGAACGCUGGCGGUGGGCCUAACACAUGCAAGUCGAACGGCAGCACAGUAAGAGCUUGCUCUUACGGGUGGCGAGUGGCGGACGGGUGAGGAAUACAUCGGAAUCUACUUUUUCGUGGGGGAUAACGUAGGGAAACUUACGCUAAUACCGCAUACGACCUACGGGUGAAAGCAGGGGAUCUUCGGACCUUGCGCGAUUGAAUGAGCCGAUGUCGGAUUAGCUAGUUGGCGGGGUAAAGGCCCACCAAGGCGACGAUCCGUAGCUGGUCUGAGAGGAUGAUCAGCCACACUGGAACUGAGACACGGUCCAGACUCCUACGGGAGGCAGCAGUGGGGAAUAUUGGACAAUGGGCGCAAGCCUGAUCCAGCCAUACCGCGUGGGUGAAGAAGGCCUUCGGGUUGUAAAGCCCUUUUGUUGGGAAAGAAAAGCAGCAGGUUAAUACCCCGCUGUUCUGACGGUACCCAAAGAAUAAGCACCGGCUAGCUUCGUG